Molecule: ribosomal RNA, 520 nt
Filed under: uncultured bacterium
Lineage: Bacteria
Description: bacterial SSU rRNA
Rfam family: Bacterial small subunit ribosomal RNA
Source: RNAcentral
GAUGAACGCUGGCGGCGUGCUUAACACAUGCAAGUCGAACGAAGCACUAUAGCAGAUUUCCUUCGGGAAUGAAACUGUAUUGACUGAGUGGCGGACGGGUGAGUAACGCGUGGGUAACCUGCCUUGUACAGGGGGAUAGCCUUUCGAAAGAAAGAUUAAUACCCGAUAGUAUAAUUAGAUCGCCUGAUUUGAUUAUUAAAGCAUUUCGGUAUAGGAUGGGGAUGCGUUCCAUUAGAUUGUUGGUGGGGUAACGGCCUACUAAGUCUUCGAUGGAUAGGGGUUCUGAGAGGAAGGUCCCCCACACUGGUACUGAGACACGGACCAGACUCCUACGGGAGGCAGCAGUGAGGAAUAUUGGUCAAUGGGCGAGAGCCUGAACCAGCCAAGUAGCGUGAAGGAUGACUGCCCUAUGGGUUGUAAACUUCUUUUGUAUGGGAAUAAAUGACAUUACGUGUAGUGUUUUGUAUGUACCAUUAUGAAUAAGCAUCGGCUAACUCCGUGCCAGCCGCCGCAGUAAUAC